CACCGCGGUUAUACGAGGGGCCCAAGUUGAUAAACACCGGCGUAAAGAGUGGUUAAGAUGAACUAAAUACUAAAGCCGAACGCCCUCAAAGCUGUUAUACGCAUCCGAAGGUAAGAAGUUCAACCACGAAAGUGGCUUUAUACUGUCUGAUCCCACGAAAGCUAAGGCA
This 169-nucleotide ribosomal RNA is filed under the name Randallichthys filamentosus (Randall's snapper). RNAcentral describes it as "partial 12S ribosomal RNA". The record is from RNAcentral. Lineage: Eukaryota; Metazoa; Chordata; Actinopteri; Lutjaniformes; Lutjanidae.